This 1372-nucleotide ribosomal RNA is filed under the name uncultured bacterium. RNAcentral describes it as "bacterial SSU rRNA". It matches the Rfam family "Bacterial small subunit ribosomal RNA", at positions 28 to 1381 of the family's 1533-position model. The record is from RNAcentral.
GAUGAACGCUGGCGGCGUGCCUAAUACAUGCAAGUCGAGCGAACGGACGAGAAGCUUGCUUCUCUGAUGUUAGCGGCGGACGGGUGAGUAACACGUGGAUAACCUACCUAUAAGACUGGGAUAACUUCGGGAAACCGGAGCUAAUACCGGAUAAUAUUUUGAACCGCAUGGUUCAAAAGUGAAAGACGGUCUUGCUGUCACUUAUAGAUGGAUCCGCGCUGCAUUAGCUAGUUGGUAAGGUAACGGCUUACCAAGGCAACGAUGCAUAGCCGACCUGAGAGGGUGAUCGGCCACACUGGAACUGAGACACGGUCCAGACUCCUACGGGAGGCAGCAGUAGGGAAUCUUCCGCAAUGGGCGAAAGCCUGACGGAGCAACGCCGCGUGAGUGAUGAAGGUCUUCGGAUCGUAAAACUCUGUUAUUAGGGAAGAACAUAUGUGUAAGUAACUGUGCACAUCUUGACGGUACCUAAUCAGAAAGCCACGGCUAACUACGUGCCAGCAGCCGCGGUAAUACGUAGGUGGCAAGCGUUAUCCGGAAUUAUUGGGCGUAAAGCGCGCGUAGGCGGUUUUUUAAGUCUGAUGUGAAAGCCCACGGCUCAACCGUGGAGGGUCAUUGGAAACUGGAAAACUUGAGUGCAGAAGAGGAAAGUGGAAUUCCAUGUGUAGCGGUGAAAUGCGCAGAGAUAUGGAGGAACACCAGUGGCGAAGGCGACUUUCUGGUCUGUAACUGACGCUGAUGUGCGAAAGCGUGGGGAUCAAACAGGAUUAGAUACCCUGGUAGUCCACGCCGUAAACGAUGAGUGCUAAGUGUUAGGGGGUUUCCGCCCCUUAGUGCUGCAGCUAACGCAUUAAGCACUCCGCCUGGGGAGUACGACCGCAAGGUUGAAACUCAAAGGAAUUGACGGGGACCCGCACAAGCGGUGGAGCAUGUGGUUUAAUUCGAAGCAACGCGAAGAACCUUACCAAAUCUUGACAUCCUUUGACAACUCUAGAGAUAGAGCUUUCCCCUUCGGGGGACAAAGUGACAGGUGGUGCAUGGUUGUCGUCAGCUCGUGUCGUGAGAUGUUGGGUUAAGUCCCGCAACGAGCGCAACCCUUAAGCUUAGUUGCCAUCAUUAAGUUGGGCACUCUAAGUUGACUGCCGGUGACAAACCGGAGGAAGGUGGGGAUGACGUCAAAUCAUCAUGCCCCUUAUGAUUUGGGCUACACACGUGCUACAAUGGACAAUACAGAGGGCAGCGAAACCGCGAGGUCAAGCAAAUCCCAUAAAGUUGUUCUCAGUUCGGAUUGUAGUCUGCAACUCGACUACAUGAAGCUGGAAUCGCUAGUAAUCGUAGAUCAGCAUGCUACGGUGAAUACGUUCCCGGGUCU